RNAcentral lists this ribosomal RNA (494 nucleotides) under uncultured bacterium. RNAcentral describes it as "partial 16S ribosomal RNA". It matches the Rfam family "Bacterial small subunit ribosomal RNA", at positions 28 to 507 of the family's 1533-position model. The record is from RNAcentral.
GACGAACGCUGGCGGCGUGCUUAACACAUGCAAGUCGAACGGUGAAGCGCCUUCCUUUUUGGUGGGUGUGGAUGAGUGGUGAACGGGUGAGUAACACGUGAGUAACCUGCCCCCUUCUUCUGGAUAACCGCAUGAAAGUGUGGCUAAUACGGGAUAUUCUGGGUCUGUCGCAUGAUGGGUCUGGGAAAGAUAUUGUUUCGGUGGGGGAUGGGCUCGCGGCCUAUCAGCUUGUUGGUGGGGUGAUGGCCUACCAAGGCGGUGACGGGUAGCCGGCCUGGGAGGGUGGACGGUCACACUGGGACUGAGACACGGCCCAGACGCGUACGGGAGGCAGCAGUGAGGAAUAUUGCACGAUGGGCGCAAGCCUGAUGCAGCGACGCCGCGUGAGGGAUGGAGGCCUUCGGGUUGUGAACCUCUUUCGCCAGUGAAGCAGGCCUGCCUCGUUUGUGGGUGGGUUGACGGUAGCUGGAUAAGAAGCGCCGGCUAACUACGUG